Lates calcarifer (barramundi perch) is the source of this 455-nucleotide non-coding RNA. NCBI's taxonomy places the organism in Eukaryota, Metazoa, Chordata, Actinopteri, Centropomidae. The record is from the annotation of a RefSeq genome assembly.
CCCACUUGUAGCUCUUCAUAUCGAGGGAGUAAGACUCUGGGAGUUUCUGUCAGGACAUGGAUAUUUUCAGUAAACACAGCCUCCUCAGACUGUCUCUAGUCUCUUUGCUGUUGAACACAGGAAUUACUGAUGGCAGUGAUGUCACCCAGACACCCAUACUGUGGAAAGACAAAGGCGACAGUGCAACAAUACAAUGCAACCACACCAAGGGUGUUGGCUACAACCAGAUGUACUGGUACAGACAGCUGCCUGGAGAAACUAUGAAACUAAUUGUGUUCACCAGAACAGGCAACAGCAAUCACGACUUUGGAGAUUUCAGCAAAGACAAAUUUUCAGCCACUAAGCCCAAUGAUGAGACCGGGACAUUCACAGUGAAGAAUCUGGUGCCAGAGGAUAAAGGCUUGUAUUUCUGUGCUGUGAGUGAACACAGUGACACAGACACAUGUGAAAGCUGA